AACAGGAUUAGAUACCCUGGUAGUCCAUGCCGUAAACGAUGUCUACUAGCCGUUGGGGCCUUUGAGGCUUUAGUGGCGCAGCUAACGCGAUAAGUAGACCGCCUGGGGAGUACGGUCGCAAGACUAAAACUCAAAUGAAUUGACGGGGGCCCGCACAAGCGGUGGAGCAUGUGGUUUAAUUCGAUGCAACGCGAAGAACCUUACCUGGCCUUGACAUAGUAAGAACUUUCCAGAGAUGGAUUGGUGCCUUCGGGAACUUACAUACAGGUGCUGCACGGCUGUCGUCAGCUCGUGUCGUGAGAUGUUGGGUUAAGUCCCGCAACGAGCGCAACCCUUUUCCUUAUUUGCCAGCGAGUAAUGUCGGGAACUUUAAGGAUACUGCCAGCGACAAACUGGAGGAAGGCGGGGACGACGUCAAGUCAUCAUGGCCCUUACGGCCAGGGCUACACACGUGCUACAAUGGUCGGUACAAAGGGUUGCUACCUAGCGAUAGGAUGCUAAUCUCAAAAAGCCGAUCGUAGUCCGGAUUGGAGUCUGCAACUCGACUCCAUGAAGUCGGAAUCGCUAGUAAUCGCGGAUCAGAAUGCCGCGGUGAAUACGUUCCCGGGCCUUGUACACACCGCCCGUCACACCAUGGGAGUUUGUUGCACCAGAAGUAGCUAGCCUAACUGCAAAGAGGGCGGUUACCACGGUGUGGCCGAUGACUGGGGUGAAGUCGUAACAAGGUAACC
Molecule: ribosomal RNA, 731 nt
Filed under: uncultured bacterium
Lineage: Bacteria
Description: bacterial SSU rRNA
Rfam family: Bacterial small subunit ribosomal RNA
Source: RNAcentral